Homo sapiens (human) is the source of this 473-nucleotide long non-coding RNA. NCBI's taxonomy places the organism in Eukaryota, Metazoa, Chordata, Mammalia, Primates, Hominidae. The record is from Ensembl.
UUUCGGACCACAUGAAGGUGCACAGCCAGGGUCCUCACCAUGUCUGUGAGCUCUGCAACAAAGGUACUGGUGAGGUUUGUCCAAUGGCGGCGGCAGCGGCAGCGGCGGCAGCGGCAGCAGCGGCAGCAGUAGCAGCCCCUCCCACAGCUGUGGGCUCCCUCUCGGGGGCGGAGGGGGUGCCUGUGAGCUCUCAGCCACUUCCCUCCCAACCCUGGAAUCCCGGUGACCGUUGGCGGGAGGGGCCGGGGACUUAAGAAGGAGGCGUCUCUCCUGGAGGCGCGCGUGAGAAGGGGCAGGGAGGGGGCGCGAGUGGUCCCCGGGCCGGUUGCCUGGGUAACGCGUGGCUCCCUUGGGCUGGCGGGAGGGGCCGGAGGCUCGCGAGGGGCGGGGGCGGCGACGGCGGCGGAGCGUAGGGGAGGGGACCGGAGAGGAGGGGAUGAGCACACGGGAGAGGAGAAGAGGGAGACCCGCCG